AUAAACAUAAUUAUUGGUACCUUCUCUCUACUGCAGUGCUGAUAGGUCACAUCUGAAGAGGAAAUUAGAUCUUGAAUUUCAGCAACCUGAAGAAGAAUAACUUGUACACAAGUAUACCAAGGGUUUUCAAUUCUUGUGCAGGAUAAAUAUUUUGGUAUAAGAGGGAAAUACCUUGGCGAGACUCUAGACUGAGGUAAUCAGCACACAGAAUUGUUAACCCAGAGAACACAGCCCCUUUAACUGGUCAUGUGUACAAUAAACCACUGGAGUAAAUAGUUAUAUUUGAUGAUUGAUUUGUGUCUGGAAUAUUGAUAUUUGAACCAGUUCUUCAUGCUUGUAUUUGAAUCGGGAGAGAGAUUGAAAACUAUUUGCGGCAACAUUGAUUGAUAUUGUAUUAAUUUAAGCUCGAGGAAUUUUGUUGAGCACAUUUUGUUUGUUUGGUCCAUGCUUUUCGGUAAAUUGAAACUAGGAAAUUGUUUAGUUCA
This is a long non-coding RNA of Olea europaea var. sylvestris, 485 nucleotides long. RefSeq lists it as uncharacterized. Lineage: Eukaryota; Viridiplantae; Streptophyta; Magnoliopsida; Lamiales; Oleaceae. The transcript has 2 exons. The record is from RefSeq and is a predicted model, not a curated record.